GAUUCAUGAUAACUUAACGAAUCGCAUGGCCUUGUGCCGGCGAUGGUUCAUUCAAAUUUCUGCCCUAUCAACUUUCGAUGGUAGGAUAGUGGCCUACCAUGGUUUCAACGGGUAACGGGGAAUUAGGGUUCUAUUCCGGAGAGGGAGCCUGAGAAACGGCUACCACAUCCAAGGAAGGCAGCAGGCGCGCAAAUUACCCAAUCCCGACACGGGGAGGUAGUGACAAUAAAUACUGAUACAGGGCCCUUUCGGGUCUUGUAAUUGGAAUGAGUACAAUUUAAAUCCCUUAACGAGGAACAAUUGGAGGGCAAGUCUGGUGCCAGCAGCCGCGGUAAUUCCAGCUCCAAUAGCGUAUAUUAAAGUUGUUGCAGUUAAAAAGCUCGUAGUUGAACCUUGGGUCUGGCUGGCCGGUCCGCCUCACCGCGUGCACUGGUCCGGCCGGACCUUUCCUUCUGGCUAACCUCAUGCCCUUUACUGGGUGUGUUGGGGAACCAGGACUUUUAC
Molecule: ribosomal RNA, 504 nt
Filed under: uncultured fungus
Lineage: Eukaryota; Fungi
Description: SSU rRNA
Rfam family: Eukaryotic small subunit ribosomal RNA
Source: RNAcentral